GAUGUAUAUUAUCAUUAGACACUAACGGUCUCAGUUUUUUGCUUCAGAUUAGCUGUUUACUGGUGUUUCAUUAGAUCCAAUAUCUCUUGGAUAGAGUAUUAGAGCUGAAAAUCCAUUAGAUAAUGCUGUAUGCAUAUUGUUCUACAUGGUCUGCAGCUUAUAUCAAAUGUCCAAUGCAGCUGGUAAAUUUGACCUAUCGCCCAUGA
RNAcentral lists this unclassified non-coding RNA (206 nucleotides) under Hevea brasiliensis (rubber tree). The record is from RNAcentral. Lineage: Eukaryota; Viridiplantae; Streptophyta; Magnoliopsida; Malpighiales; Euphorbiaceae.